GGAAGUUUGAUCGUAAGUUUUGAAAAAGAGGACCAGGAAAGUGUUGGCUGCAGCUUCGACUAAUUCCCGUGAGCUGUCGGCUGCAGCAAUUAUCUGAGCACCCCAU
Non-coding RNA from Caenorhabditis elegans, 106 nucleotides. NCBI's taxonomy places the organism in Eukaryota, Metazoa, Nematoda, Chromadorea, Rhabditida, Rhabditidae. The record is from Ensembl.